GAAACCUGAUUUCUUGAGAGUCCAGUUUGUUUGGCUAACAUAACUUUAUCAGUGUCCGUGGGGUAAGGGUGAAGAAAAUGGUCAAACAACCAAGCCCUAAGUACAGUGACAGCACGUUCAGGAAGCCCUCUUUGUGGUCUCCAAACAGGUUGAGUUUCUUGUCUUUGGCAAUAAAUUCCUUUGCCAGAAAUUCCAACUCCUCUUUCACAAUUAAUUUGACCAUGUGAAGAUUUUCUUGUUGUAAAUUGAAGUUGGUCAAUUAUGGCAUCUUUAAGGCAUUUGAAGUG
Molecule: unclassified non-coding RNA, 287 nt
Filed under: Hevea brasiliensis (rubber tree)
Lineage: Eukaryota; Viridiplantae; Streptophyta; Magnoliopsida; Malpighiales; Euphorbiaceae
Source: RNAcentral